Molecule: unclassified non-coding RNA, 400 nt
Filed under: Hevea brasiliensis (rubber tree)
Lineage: Eukaryota; Viridiplantae; Streptophyta; Magnoliopsida; Malpighiales; Euphorbiaceae
Source: RNAcentral
GAGAGAGAGAGAGAGAGAGGAGUACCAAUGGAGACUCUAGUCUCCUCUCUUGUUUGAUUCUGAUUAUGAAAUAUUAGACAACAAUUUUUUUCUUGUCCAUUUCAAUCAAGCUUUUCAGAGAAACUAAUCAUCAAAAGCUUUGGCAUCAGAGAUACUUAUUUCAGAAUUUUGGUGUGUAUCUUGAACUGUAGCAACUUCAAAUUUUUACACAUUGGACUAGCCCUAACAUUAGCUUAAAGCUUAUUGUAGUUAUAUGGCAGCCAAAAUUGACAACUGUUCAGCUUCCCAACUGAGGAUGUGAAUAUUCUGAUUUUAUAAUAUGAGUUGCCCAUCCUGGAUCACCUAAGUGAGGAAACAUUUUGUAUUUUCAAGUAAUCUUGUGGCUUUUAAAAAUAUAGGU